UACGUAGGGCGCAAGCGUUGUCCGGAAUUAUUGGGCGUAAAGAGCUCGUAGGCGGUCUGUCGCGUCUGCCGUGAAAACCCGAGGCUUAACCUCGGGCUGGCGGUGGAUACGGGCAGACUAGAGGUAGGUAGGGGAGAAUGGAAUUCCCGGUGUAGCGGUGAAAUGCGCAGAUAUCGGGAGGAACACCGGUGGCGAAGGCGGUUCUCUGGGCCUUACCUGACGCUGAGGAGCGAAAGCAUGGGAGCGAACAGG
This 252-nucleotide ribosomal RNA is filed under the name uncultured bacterium. RNAcentral's name for it is "partial 16S ribosomal RNA". It matches the Rfam family "Bacterial small subunit ribosomal RNA", at positions 524 to 776 of the family's 1533-position model. The record is from RNAcentral.